Molecule: ribosomal RNA, 489 nt
Filed under: uncultured bacterium
Lineage: Bacteria
Description: partial 16S ribosomal RNA
Rfam family: Bacterial small subunit ribosomal RNA
Source: RNAcentral
GAUGAACGCUAGCGGUAGGCCUAACACAUGCAAGCCGAGCGGAAUUUCUUGGUUCUCUUUCUACCUAACAAUGAGACCGGCGUACGGGUACGUAGCACGUGUGCUACCUGCCUUUAUCUGAUGAAUACCCUUUCGCAAGGCAGAUUAAUACCCCAUAACAUAUUCAUUUGCAUCAGUUGAUAUUGAAAGCUCCGGCGUAUCGAGAUGGGCACGCGUAAGCUUAGCUAGUUGGUGAUGUAAUGGCUCCCCAAGGCUGCGAUCUUUCGCGGGCAUGAGAGGGUGAUCCCCCACACUGGUACUGAGACACGGACCAGAAUCCUACGGGAGGCAGCAGUGAGGAAUAUUGGACAAUGGGUGAGAGCCUGAUCCAGCCAUCCCGCGUGAAGGAGUAAGGACAUAUGGUUUGUAAACUUCUUGUAUACAGGGAUAAACCUACUCUCGAGAGGGUAGCUGAAGGUACUGUAUGAAUAAGCACCGGCUAACUACGUG